RNAcentral lists this ribosomal RNA (1239 nucleotides) under Triticum aestivum (bread wheat). Its description in RNAcentral is "partial small subunit ribosomal RNA". The record is from RNAcentral. Lineage: Eukaryota; Viridiplantae; Streptophyta; Magnoliopsida; Poales; Poaceae.
AUGGCUGAGCCAGAGAAGUACGCGACGGAGACAGAGACGGAGGCGACGGACACUGACACGACGGAGACGGAGACGGAGUCUCACGCGACGGCGACGGCGACGGACACGGACACAUCGGAGGCAGGGACGGCGUCAGACACGACGGACACGGACAGCAGCGUGCCGGAGCUGACACGGGAGGAGAUGCUGCGGCUGCUGGAGCCGGACCCGGAGCUGACGGACGAGGAGAAGGCGCUGCGGGCGCUCCACAUCGUCUGCUGCCGAGAGCUCACCGAGUACGACCCCAAGUCCAACGCCGACGUCUGCACCCGCUUCUCCAGCUUCAACAUAGCCUUCUUCGACCUCGACCAAGAGUCCGAGGCUAUGCAUGGCCCGCGGCUUCAGGAGCUCACCUCUUCUCAGCAGAGCUCGGCUGUGCAAUCAUCGGUCAACGUCAUUUCCCUCAAGGUGGUCGACUCCGACGUGGGCUACCCGAUCAGCGUGUUUGGCACUGUGCUCGCGAGGGACGAUGCCGACUACAGAUGUGUCUACUUGUUCCGCCGCGACAGGGAUGAUCCCCAGUUCAUCGAGUCGCCGGAGGACAUGCUGACUUUGACAGGCCCAAACCGAGGGCUCGUUGUGCCAGACACCAUCUUCUUCGAGUUCAAUCUGAAGAUCAAGGGUGACGGAACCACCGGCGACAGAGAUUUCAGCAAAGGUGUCAUAGAACACUACCCUGUACCAUUGGAGAAGGGACCCAAGGCUGAGCUGCUAUCUAGCUGGCUGAGCACGGUAGAACUGGUACUAGCGCCCGUUCCGUUUGCCGUGGCAGCUACCGUCAAAAUCAGUAUUCUGAAUGGACCCUGCGACGCCCCUUUCAGUGACAAGAUAACCGCUUGGACCGCCGGAGACACUGAGAGCCAUAUCAUUCUAUAUGAUGAACACGAAAACAGAGCGAGAUUGAUCGGAGAUGGCGGUUCGAUCGCGUUAAGCCGUGAUUUGGUGGCCGUCCACGUCCCUAAUUCCUUGUAUGAUGAUGAGUAUGAAGAAAUCGCGCUCAGUGUCUGUUUUACUUCCAGUGAUGGUGAGGGUGAGUGCAGCUGUGUCACUCUACAGUACCCUCAGGAGGAGAAGGUUUGCAAUCAUGGUGCCUAUGAGCUUCAGGUGGAGGUUACCUGGACAGCCAUUCUGGAAGGGCCGUUUGGCACAGAUGUUGACAAAAGAUGGAGCUCUGUUCCUCUGAAACCAUUUUUUUUCUGA